This 1208-nucleotide ribosomal RNA is filed under the name Schistosoma japonicum. RNAcentral describes it as "SSU rRNA". It matches the Rfam family "Eukaryotic small subunit ribosomal RNA", at positions 229 to 1325 of the family's 1831-position model. Lineage: Eukaryota; Metazoa; Platyhelminthes; Trematoda; Strigeidida; Schistosomatidae. The record is from RNAcentral.
GGCUUAUGCUGUGCCUGUUACAUUCUGUGAUGACUCUGGAUAACUUUACUGAUCGCAGUCGGCCUUGUGUGUCGGCGACGGAUCUUUCAAAUGUCUCCCUAUCAAUUUGUUGGUAGGUGAUUUGCCUACCAUGAUGAUAACGGGUAACGGGGAAUCAGGGUUCGAUUCCGGAGAGGGAGCCUGAGAAAUGUCUACCACAUCCAAGGACGGCAGCAGGCGCGAAAAUUACCCACUCCCAGCACGGGGAGGUAGUGACGAAAAAUACGGAUACGGGACUCAAUUGAGGCUCCGUAAUUCGAAUGAGUACAAUUUAAAUCCUUUAACGAGGACCAAUUGGAGGGCAAGUCUGGUGCCAGCAGCCGCGGUAACUCCAGCUCCAAAAGCGUAUAUUAAAGUUGCUGCAGUUAAAAAGCUCGUAGUUGGAUCUGGGUAGUGCGAUCGCAUGCUGUUGCUUGUUCACGGUCUUGGUUACGAUCAGGGCAGUGGUCAGCUCGGCGUAGUGGUUGUGCAACCUUUCAGCCGUGUCUGUGUUUUAUUAAACAGGUGUCGAUGGGUUAAUGAGUAUUGUAUCUUAUUGACCUGUUGGCAUGCUUUCGGAUGCCUUUAAACGGGUGUCGGGGGCGGACGGCAUCUUUACUUUGAACAAAUUUGAGUGCUCAAAGCAGGCCUAUGCGCCUGAAAAUUCUUGCAUGGAAUAAUGAAAUAGGACUUCGGUUCUAUUUUGUUGGUUUUCGGAUCCGAAGUAAUGGUUAAGAGGGACAGACGGGGGCAUUUGUAUGGCGGUGUUAGAGGUGAAAUUCUGGGAUCGCCGCCAGACAAACUACAGCGAAAGCAUUUGCCAAGAAUGUUUUCAUUGAUCAGGAGCGAAAGUCAGAGUUUCGAAGACGAUCAGAUACCGUCGUAGUUCUGACCAUAAACGAUGCCAACUGACGAUCCGCGUUGGUUCUAUAAUUGACAUCGCGGGCAGUCCCCGGGAAACCUUUAAGUCUUUGGGCUCCGGGGGGAGUAUGGUUGCAAAGCUGAAACUUAAAGGAAUUGACGGAAGGGCACCACCAGGAGUGGAGCCUGCGGUUUAAUUCGACUCAACACGGGAAAACUCACCCGGCCCGGACACUGUGAGGAUUGACAGAUUGAAAGCUCUUUCUUGAUUCGGUGGUUGGUGGUGCAUGGCCGUUCUUAGUUGGUGGAGCGAUUUGUCUGGUUAAUCA